GAGGAGGAGGAGGAAAAGAGAAGAAAGGCAGAAUUUUAAGUGACAGAGAAACACGUGUUGGCUAAUUUCGAGUUGCCGUCUCUGGUGAUUCGAUCUGCCCGACACGCGUUUCAUAUGUUUAAGAGGAGAUUAUGGGCUCUGUUCUAAAACCCUCCAGGCCCCAAGUACACCCAUUGGACAAGGUUUUCGUAGGAGUUGUUGGCAUUUCCAGAGGUGCCUUUAUGACCCUGGUGGUAGUCUGACCCUUCUUCUGUACCGUGAACCUAAAGAAACACUCGACUGAUCUCCACACAUUUGAUAAGGAUUUCAUAGGAGUUUUGUGCGUUGCCAGAGGUGCUGUUAUGACCCUGGUGGUAGUGUGAUCCUCCUUCUGUACCGUGAACCUAAAGAAACACUCAUGAGAAGUUGACAACCCGAUUGAUCUCCACACAUUUGACAAGGUUUUCGUAGGAGUUGUGGGUAUUUCCAGAGGUGCUGUUAUGACCCUGGUGGUAGUGUGACCCUUCUUCUGUACCGUGAACCUGAAGAAACACUCAUUAGAAGUUGACAACCCGAUUAAUCUUCACACAUUUGACAAGGUUUUCGUAGGAGUUGUGGGUAUUUCCAGAGGUGCUGUUAUGACCCUGGUGGUAGUCUGACCUUUCUUCUGUAUUGAC
Molecule: long non-coding RNA, 656 nt
Organism: Eriocheir sinensis (Chinese mitten crab)
Lineage: Eukaryota; Metazoa; Arthropoda; Malacostraca; Decapoda; Varunidae
Exons: 2
Source: RefSeq, a predicted model, not a curated record